CGUAGGGUGCGAGCGUUAAUCGGAAUUACUGGGCGUAAAGCGUGCGCAGGCGGUUUUGUAAGACAGAUGUGAAAUCCCCGGGCUCAACCUGGGACCUGCAUUUGUGACUGCAAGGCUAGAGUACGGUAGAGGGGGAUGGAAUUCCGCGUGUAGCAGUGAAAUGCGUAGAUAUGCGGAGGAACACCGAUGGCGAAGGCAAUCCCCUGGACCUGUGCUGACGCUCAUGCACGAAAGCGUGGGGAGCAAACAGGAUUAGAUACCCUGGUAGUCCACGCCCUAAACGAUGUCAACUGGUUGUUGGGUCUUUACUGACUCAGUAACGAAGCUAACGCGUGAAGUUGACCGCCUGGGGAGUACGGCCGCAAGGUUG
RNAcentral lists this ribosomal RNA (370 nucleotides) under uncultured organism. RNAcentral describes it as "bacterial SSU rRNA". It matches the Rfam family "Bacterial small subunit ribosomal RNA", at positions 526 to 896 of the family's 1533-position model. The record is from RNAcentral.